RNAcentral lists this ribosomal RNA (483 nucleotides) under uncultured bacterium. RNAcentral describes it as "partial 16S ribosomal RNA". It matches the Rfam family "Bacterial small subunit ribosomal RNA", at positions 28 to 507 of the family's 1533-position model. The record is from RNAcentral.
GAUGAACGCUAGCGGCAGGCCUAAUACAUGCAAGCCGAACGGCAAGUUUGAUAGCAAUAUUGGACCUAGAGUGGCGCAAGGGUGCGUAACACGUAUGCAACCUGCCCGCGACAGGAGGAUAGCUCCCCGAAAGGGGAAUUAACCCUCCAUAACACCAUGAGAAGGCAUCUGAUUAUGGUUAAACCGCAAGGGGUCGCGGAUGGGCAUGCGGUUGAUUAGCUAGUUGGCGGGGUAAAGGCCCACCAAGGCGGGGAUCAAUAGGGGUUCUGAGAGGAAGGUCCCCCACACUGGAACUGAGAUACGGGCCAGACUCCUACGGGAGGCAGCAGUAGGGAAUAGUGGACAAUGGUUGCAAGACUGAUCCAGCCAUGCCGCGUGCAGGAAGAAGGCCUUCUGGGUCGUAAACUGCUUUGUCCUGUGGAUAAAAUACCCGUGCGCGGGGAAUUGAAGGUAACAGGGGAAUAAGCCACGGCUAACUACGUG